This is a non-coding RNA of Rhinopithecus roxellana (golden snub-nosed monkey), 1534 nucleotides long. The record is from the annotation of a RefSeq genome assembly. Lineage: Eukaryota; Metazoa; Chordata; Mammalia; Primates; Cercopithecidae.
UCCUCAAUUCAGGCCACACCCUCCAGCCCCUGACCCGAGGUGUCUAGCCACCAGGUCCACACUUCCUUGCCUUCUCCUUGGGGACACCGCCCUGAAGACAGGAUGUCACUGCUGGAAGCAUUCGCCUUCUCCUCCUUCUGGGCAUUUGGACUUGGAUUAUCAAAAGUGGAGCAGUUCCAGCUAUCCGUUUCCACGGAAGUCAAGAAAAGUAUUGACAUACCUUGCAAGAUACAGAGCACAAACUUUGCAAACGAUGUCAUUCACUGGUACUGGCAGAAACCGAAUCAGGCUUUGGAGCAUCUGAUCUAUAUUACCUCAACAAAAUCCGCAGUUCAAGGCAGCAUGGGUAAGAGGAGCAACAAAGUGGAAGCAAGAAAGAAUUCUCAAACUCUCACUUCAAUCCUUACCAUCAAGUCCGUAGAGAAAGAAGACAUGGCCAUUUACUACUGUGCAGGAUGGGAUUUUGGAAAAUAUUAUAAGAAACUCUUUGGCAGUGGAACAACACUUGUUGUCACAGAUAAACAUCUUGAUGCAGAUGUUUCCCCCAAGCCCACUAUUUUUCUUCCUUCCAUUGCUGAAACAAACCUCCACAAGGCUGGAACAUACCUUUGUCUUCUUGAGAAAUUUUUCCCGGAUGUUAUUGAGAUACAUUGGCAAGAAAAGAACAGCAACAACGUUCUGAAAUCCCAAGAGGGGAACACCGUGAAGACUAACAACACAUACAUGAAAUUUAGCUGGUUAACAGUGCCAGAAAACUCACUGGAUAAAGAGCACAGAUGUAUCGUCAGACAUGAGAAUAAUAAAAAUGGAGCUGAUCAAGAAAUUAUCUUUCCUCCAAUAAAGACAGAUGUCACCACAGUGGAUCCCAAAGACAGUUAUUCAAAAGAUGCAAAUGAUGUCACCACAGUGGAUCCCAAAGGCAAUUAUUCAGAAGAUGCAAAUGAUGCACUACUGCUGCAGCUCACAAACACCUCUGCAUAUUACAUGUACCUCCUCCUGCUCGUCAAGAGUGAGGUCUAUUUUGCCAUCAUCGCCGUCUGUCUGCUUAGAAGAACGGCUGUCUGCUGCAAUGGAGAGAGACCCUAACAGACGGUGGCACAAGGACGCCAUCUUUUCCUCAUCGGUUAUUGUCCCUAGAAGUGUCUUCUGAGGAUCUAGUUGGGCUUUCUUUCUGGGUUUGAGCUAUUUCACUUCUCAUGUGUGUACUAUUCUAUCAUUGUUGUAGAAUGGUUUUCAAACCAGUGGGCGCACGGAAAACCUCAGUCUGUGAUGACAAUGAGGAAUAGCCAUGGCAGUCUCCAGCACCACUCUCUCCAUAUUCUCCACAGCUCCUCCAGCCAACCCAAAUAGCCACUGCCAUGGUGUAGACAGUCCGCGGCUUCUAGCCUUGUCCCUCCCUUAGUGUUCUUUAAUCAGAUCUAACUGCCUGGAAGCCUUUCAUUUGACACGCCCUGAAGCAGCCUUCUUUGCUAGUUGAAUUACAUGGUGUAUUUUUCCUAACAGGCAAAAUAAAUUUAAAAUAAUGAAAAGUUGA